UGGUGUGACAUGAUACUUGAGUAGUUCCAU
RNAcentral lists this non-coding RNA (30 nucleotides) under Homo sapiens (human). Lineage: Eukaryota; Metazoa; Chordata; Mammalia; Primates; Hominidae. The record is from RNAcentral.